This 268-nucleotide ribosomal RNA is filed under the name Algoriphagus aestuariicola. Its description in RNAcentral is "partial 16S ribosomal RNA". It matches the Rfam family "Bacterial small subunit ribosomal RNA", at positions 1121 to 1387 of the family's 1533-position model. The record is from RNAcentral. Lineage: Bacteria; Pseudomonadati; Bacteroidota; Cytophagia; Cytophagales; Cyclobacteriaceae.
GCACGUCAAGGUGGGGACUCUAGACAGACUGCCUGCGCAAGCAGAGAGGAAGGAGGGGACGACGUCAAGUCAUCAUGGCCCUUACGCCCAGGGCGACACACGUGCUACAAUGGCGCAUACAGCGGGUCGCUACCUAGCAAUAGGAUGCCAACCUCUAAAAGUGCGUCUCAGUUCGGAUCGGGGUCUGCAACUCGACCCCGUGAAGCUGGAAUCGCUAGUAAUCGCGCAUCAGCCAUGGCGCGGUGAAUACGUUCCCGGACCUUGUACA